GACGAACGCUGGCGGCGUGCCUAACACAUGCAAGUCGAACGGAGUUAUUUAUUUAGAUCCCUUCGGGGUGACGAAUUUUUAACUUAGUGGCGGACGGGUGAGUAACGCGUGAGUAACCUGCCUUACAGAGGGGGGACAACAGUUGGAAACGACUGCUAAUACCGCAUGAUGUUUCGAGAGGGCAUCCUCUUGAAACCAAAGGAGCAAAUCCGCUGUAAGAUGGACUCGCGUCCGAUUAGAUAGUUGGCGGGGUAACGGGCCCACCAAGUCGACGAUCGGUAGCCGGACUGAGAGGUUGAACGGCCACAUUGGGACUGAGACACGGCCCCAGGACUCCUACGGGAGGCAGCAGUGGGGGAUAUUGCACAAUGGGGGAAACCCUGAUGCAGCGAUGCCGCGU
RNAcentral lists this ribosomal RNA (400 nucleotides) under uncultured bacterium. RNAcentral's name for it is "bacterial SSU rRNA". It matches the Rfam family "Bacterial small subunit ribosomal RNA", at positions 28 to 402 of the family's 1533-position model. The record is from RNAcentral.